UACGCCCACAUCACGUUGAAACGCCGGUUCCUGUACGAUCACCGAAGUUAAGCAACGUUGAGCCUGGUCAGUACUUAGAUGGGUGACCGCUUGGGAAUAUCGGGCGCUGUAAG
This 113-nucleotide ribosomal RNA is filed under the name Acanthosepion pharaonis. The record is from RNAcentral. Lineage: Eukaryota; Metazoa; Mollusca; Cephalopoda; Sepiida; Sepiidae.